GCCCACUUUGCUCAGUCGGUAGAGCUUGAGAUUCUUAAUCUCAGGGUCGUGGGUUUGAGUCCCACAAUGGGCA
This is a non-coding RNA of Podarcis muralis (Common wall lizard), 73 nucleotides long. The record is from the annotation of a RefSeq genome assembly. Lineage: Eukaryota; Metazoa; Chordata; Lepidosauria; Squamata; Lacertidae.